Molecule: ribosomal RNA, 260 nt
Filed under: uncultured archaeon
Lineage: Archaea
Description: partial 16S ribosomal RNA
Rfam family: Archaeal small subunit ribosomal RNA
Source: RNAcentral
CAGCCGUAAACUAUGCUCGCUAGGUGUCAGGCAUGGCGCGACCGUGUCUGGUGCCGCAGGGAAGCCGUGAAGCGAGCCACCUGGGAAGUACGGCCGCAAGGCUGAAACUUAAAGGAAUUGGUGGGGGAGCACAACAACGGGUGGAGCCUGCGGUUUAAUGGACUCAACGCCGGACAACUCACCGGGGACGACAGCAAUAUGUAGGCCAGGCUGAAGACCUUGCCUGAAUCGCUGAGAGGAGGUGCAUGGCGUAGACGUCU